CUGAAGGACUUCAGUGGACCAGUGCUUCGAGUCUGUUUGCUUCAAUAAGGGAGGAGGACCAAAGCGCCGAUCAUGAAUCACGAAGAAGUCGGUUCUCAGCUUCGUCAAGUUCUGGAAAAGGAAGAGUUGCUGGCCCUUGCUGCCAGAAUAAAGGACAACUACCCCUAUUGCCUACAAAUGUACAACACUCUGCUACUGACCUCCAAGGGACUGAAUGCUUGCUUCCAGUACGAGAUCUAUGUGCCCAGGAAUCACCAGGACUCUCAUAUCGUCAUUUGGAGGUCAUUGAUUGAA
This is a long non-coding RNA of Macrobrachium nipponense, 294 nucleotides long. RefSeq lists it as uncharacterized. The transcript is spliced from 3 exons. The record is from RefSeq and is a predicted model, not a curated record. Lineage: Eukaryota; Metazoa; Arthropoda; Malacostraca; Decapoda; Palaemonidae.